Molecule: ribosomal RNA, 378 nt
Filed under: Phaeomonas parva
Lineage: Eukaryota; Pinguiophyceae; Pinguiochrysidales; Pinguiochrysidaceae
Description: partial Bacterial small subunit ribosomal RNA
Rfam family: Bacterial small subunit ribosomal RNA
Source: RNAcentral
CAUGCAAGUCGAGCGGUAACAGAUCUAGCUUGCUAGAUGCUGACGAGCGGCGGACGGGUGAGUAAUGCUUAGGAAUCUGCCUGGUAGUGGGGGAUAGCCCGGGGAAACCCGGAUUAAUACCGCAUACGCCCUACGGGGGAAAGCAGGGGAUCUUCGGACCUUGCGCUAUUGGAUGAGCCUAAGUCGGAUUAGCUAGUUGGUGGGGUAAAGGCCUACCAAGGCGACGAUCCGUAGCUGGUCUGAGAGGAUGAUCAGCCACAUCGGGACUGAGACACGGCCCGAACUCCUACGGGAGGCAGCAGUGGGGAAUAUUGGACAAUGGGGGCAACCCUGAUCCAGCCAUGCCGCGUGUGUGAAGAAGGCUUUCGGGUUGUAAAG